AACGAACGCUGGCGGCGUGGAUUAGGCAUGCAAGUCGAACGGAGUUUCUAGCUUUUUCGGAAACUUAGUGGCGAAAGGGUGAGUAACACGUGGGUUACCUGCCCUAGGGUGUGGGAUAACCUGUCGAAAGACGGGCUAAUACCGCAUACGUCCUGUGCUUUUCGAAGCGCAGGGGAAAGAUGGGGAUCCGUAAGGACCUAUCACCCUUGGAUGGGCCCGCGGCCUAUCAGCUAGUUGGUGAGGUAAUGGCUCACCAAGGCUAAGACGGGUAGCUGGUCUGAGAGGAUGGUCAGCCACACUGGAACUGAGACACUGUCCAGACACCUACGGGUGGCAG
RNAcentral lists this ribosomal RNA (337 nucleotides) under uncultured bacterium. RNAcentral describes it as "bacterial SSU rRNA". It matches the Rfam family "Bacterial small subunit ribosomal RNA", at positions 29 to 351 of the family's 1533-position model. The record is from RNAcentral.